AUACCGGCCCUUUUCAGGGCCAUUAAUAUCUUCAUUUAAGUCGCCU
This is a non-coding RNA of Octopus bimaculoides (California two-spot octopus), 46 nucleotides long. Lineage: Eukaryota; Metazoa; Mollusca; Cephalopoda; Octopoda; Octopodidae. The record is from Rfam.